This 450-nucleotide ribosomal RNA is filed under the name uncultured bacterium. Its description in RNAcentral is "partial 16S ribosomal RNA". It matches the Rfam family "Bacterial small subunit ribosomal RNA", at positions 354 to 796 of the family's 1533-position model. The record is from RNAcentral.
GUGGGGAAUCUUCCGCAAUGGACGAAAGUCUGACGGAGCGACGCCGCGUGAGUGAAGAAGGCCUUCGGGUCGUAAAGCUCUGUCAUCAGGGACGAACGGCCGGUGGAGUGGAAAGCCACCGGAUUGACGGUACCUGAGAAGGAAGCCACGGCUAACUACGUGCCAGCAGCCGCGGUAAUACGUAGGUGGCAAGCGUUGUCCGGAAUUAUUGGGCGUAAAGCGCGCGCAGGUGGGAUCUUAAGUCCAUUUUUAAAGUUCGGAGCUCAACUCCGUGAUGGGAUGGAAACUGGGAUUCUUGAGUACCGGAGAGGAAAGCGGAAUUCCCCGUGUAGCGGUGAAAUGCGUAGAUAUGGGGAGGAACACCAGUGGCGAAGGCGGCUUUCUGGACGACAACUGACGCUGAGGCGCGAAAGCCAGGGGAGCAAACGGGAUUAGAUACCCGGGUAGUCC